This is a long non-coding RNA of Patella vulgata (common limpet), 1078 nucleotides long. RefSeq lists it as uncharacterized. NCBI's taxonomy places the organism in Eukaryota, Metazoa, Mollusca, Gastropoda, Patellidae. The record is from RefSeq and is a predicted model, not a curated record. The transcript has 3 exons.
AUCAUGUUAUUAAUUUAUAACAACAAAACACAAGACAAGUAUAAUCUCGUCUACGACACUUUAAAUCAUAGCCGCAAAUAGACGGAGAUUUCCCUGUUGGAGAUUUUAUUAAAUAUUUCCUUUCAUUUUGUCUCGCCAUUUCUGUUGACCAGAGUAGAAGAAAGUUGUGUGUUUAAGAAUCUGUUACUAUAACAACAUCAUGAUGUCUGAUACGUCACUUCAACAGAUUGUCAAUCACCAGAGUCUUAAUUUCAACCUCCCUUGUAAUUUACAAAUAGGAGAACACAACAUCAUACAAAAUCAUCCGACCAACCAACUCAAAGAAGAUGUUGACAGGAUGAAGAAUGAGAUACAACAACUUCAAUCAGACAAACAGAAUCAAAACGAUGAUAUGAUAACUCUUAAUGUAAGGCGGAUUGGUGGUAGAGGUAAGAUGGCUAUAAGUGUUAGUAGAGAUAAAACUAUAAGUGAACUAGAACCUAUAAUACAAGAGGAGUAUAGAAGGAAGUAUGGUGGAGAUGGUGGUGUUUGUUAUAUUUGUUCUAUUUAUCAUAUCUACAGUGUAAAACAUAAGAACAUCUACAAAUAUACCAACAACAAAGAUCUACCAUUAUCACAUUAUGGUGUAGGUGAGGGUGAUAAAGUCAAUUGUUUGAGAAUAUUGAGUUAAUAGUAUUAUAAUCAUAUAGUACUUACUAUAAAACAAUAUUCAACAUUAUUAUACAUUUGUAUUAUGUAAGAUAUAAGUAUUGUGAUGCUAUAAUAAACAAUAUUAAACAUUAUAAUAUUAUGUAAGAUAUAAGUAUUGUGGUACUAUAAAACAAUAUUAAACAUUAUUAUAUUAUGUAAGAUAUAAGUAUUGUGGUACUAUAAAACAAUAUUCAACAUUAUAAUAUUAUGUAAGAUAUAAGUAUUGUGGUACUAUAAAACAAUAUUCAACAUUAUAAUAUUAUGUAAGAUAUAAGUAUUGUGGUGCUAUAAAACAAUAUUCAACAUUAUUAUAUUAUGUAAGAUAUAAGUAUUGUGGUGCUAUAAAACAAUAUUCAACAUUAUUAUAUUAUGUAAGAUAUAAGUAUUG